GUCCUUUUGAGAUAAAUUUAAGGUCUAACCUGCCCACUGAUUCUUAAAUGGCCGCAGUACUUUAACUGUGCAAAGGUAGCAUAAUAAUUAGUCUUUUAAUUGAAGGCUGGAAUGAAUGGUUGGACGAGAUAUUUUCUGUUUCAUACGAAAUUAUAGUAGAAUUUUAUUUUUCAGUAAAAAAGCUGAAAUAUUCUUAAAAGACGAGAAGACCCUAUAAAUCUUUACAUUUAUUAAUAAAUUACAGAGUUAGAAAAUUUUUAGUAAUUUAUUAAUGAAUGUUUUAUUGGGGUGAUAUUAAAAUUUAUAAAACUUUUAAUUUAUUGUACAUUUAUGUAUGAAUAUAUGAUCCGUAUACACGAUUAAUAAAUUAAGUUACUUUAGGGAUAACAGCGUAAUUUUUUUGGAGAGUUCUUAUCGAUAAAAAAGAUUGCGACCUCGAUGUUGGAUUAAGGAAUAAUUUUAGGCGCAGCCGUUUAUAAUAUAAGUCUGUUCGACUUUUAAACCCUU
Molecule: ribosomal RNA, 507 nt
Filed under: Tetanocera latifibula
Lineage: Eukaryota; Metazoa; Arthropoda; Insecta; Diptera; Sciomyzidae
Description: partial 16S ribosomal RNA
Rfam family: Bacterial large subunit ribosomal RNA
Source: RNAcentral